This 469-nucleotide ribosomal RNA is filed under the name uncultured bacterium. RNAcentral's name for it is "partial 16S ribosomal RNA". It matches the Rfam family "Bacterial small subunit ribosomal RNA", at positions 28 to 508 of the family's 1533-position model. The record is from RNAcentral.
GACGAACGCUGGCGGCGUGCUUAACACAUGCAAGUCGAACGGAAAGGCCCUGCUUUUGUGGGGUGCUCGAGUGGCGAACGGGUGAGUAACACGUGAGUAACCUGCCCUUGACUUUGGGAUAACUUCAGGAAACUGGGGCUAAUACCGGAUAGGAGCUCCUGCUGCAUGGUGGGGGUUGGAAAGUUUCGGCGGUUGGGGGUGGACUCGCGGCUUAUCAGCUUGUUGGUGGGGUAGUGGCUUACCAAGGCUUUGACGGGUAGCCGGCCUGAGAGGGUGACCGGCCACAUUGGGACUGAGAUACGGCCCAGACUCCUACGAGAGGCAGCAGUGGGGAAUAUUGCACAAUGGGCGGAAGCCUGAUGCAGCAACGCCGCGGGCGGGAUGACGGCCUUCGGGUUGUAAACCGCUUUCGCCUGUAACGAAGCGUGAGUGACGGUAAUGGGUAAAGAAGCACCGGCUAACUACUUGC